Molecule: long non-coding RNA, 1543 nt
Filed under: Parus major (Great Tit)
Lineage: Eukaryota; Metazoa; Chordata; Aves; Passeriformes; Paridae
Description: lncRNA (ENSPMJG00000015738.1)
Source: RNAcentral
CUAGGGCAUUAAAGCAAAGAUGACCAGCCAUAAAUCAAACUCAAGGAGAGAGUAUGCUGAAUCCCUGUUGAAUAUCACUUAGAUCAUUCUUGCUCAGCUCGAGUGUUGGUAAUCUUUUGCCUUUGAGACUGAUGAGGAAUUAGUGAGAUUAGAAAAUAUUUAGAAAUUCAACCGAUCUUCUGGGUCUGCAUUUUGUUGAUUUCCAGAUGAAGGGUCAAAUAAUUUGUACUUUCUGUCACUUACUGCUUUAUAUUUGGAAGAUGUUUCCUUAAGUGUCAGAAAAGUCAUCCUGCAGAGCAUACCUAGGGUAGUUUUUUUGUGAGCUGGAGAUUGCCUUUUCAACAGUGGGCAGAAAAUUCUUGGGUUUCUGAUGUCCUGAGCUGCCAACUGCCUGCUGCCUGCUCAGCAGCCGAGGGGGAAGGAUUGGCCUGGUGGGAAAAUGUGUUAUAAUCCUCCUGGAGCAGCUGCCCCAGCUUUCCUGCUUGCUAGUGAAGCCCAGAGGCAAAAGGACCAGUCUUUCCCCUCCCAGUAUUCCAGCUCAGCCUGAAAGGAGGGUGUGGAUCUUUGGAUAAUGUGAAGGACAACUCAGGUCUGAUUUUUUUCCUCUGGAUGAAGGACCCAGUCUUACACCAGGAUUCACAUGGGAUUUUCUGGAAAAUUAACCCAGCGCUGGUUGAGCGGCGGGUGAGGAUGCUGGGCGCAGGGCUGGGAGCGCAGGCGGUGCUGCGGGGAGCUGCAAACACAUACCGCCACCUAAAGGAAGGAAACCUGCAAGGAACCCUCGGAAAGCUGCUCCCUUCGGCUGACUCUCUGUCAGAGCUGGUUAAAACAAAGACGCUUAAUUUGCUCUUCGCAGCCUGGCUCCCUGAUGCCUUCCGAAGGGUUGUCGCCCUGGCAAAGCAGGACAAGUCCCUCAGCGUCGUGUACCCUCUGCUGCAGGACCAGUAACACAAGGGUGGCGCACCUGGCACUGGGCACCGGGUAACUUCUCAAGUUGUCCCAACUUCUUUGUGUGUCUAUGGAAUCUUGUAGCAGGGCCACGGAUUAGGUGCAGCCAGGUUUUGUGCCAAGGGAGAUGGCCGGGGAAGGCUCCGCUGGGGAGCUAAACCCCACCUGUGCUGCGGCACAGGGCUGCGGCGCUGCUGCCACUGCUGCUGCCAGGUCCUGCGGGACUGGGCCAGCUGGGAACGGGGGAAAGCUCAGGCCGAUACAUCAGUAAUGGAUGGAUGAGGAGGGUGGGUGGCAGCCGAGUAGGUGGUCUUCAGACCAUGUCUGAUUUUACUUCAUUAUCUACCGUAGAUUGCAUAGAUGCCAAGGGGACAGGACUGAGAUCUGCUCAGCCCAGCUGAAUAUCUUAACUCCUAAUACUGAAGAGACAAGCUUCUUUUGAACAGCCUUUUUCUGGCUUCAUUCCUGGCUGCACAGAGGCGGCAGGCAGAAGAAACUAUUUACAGAGAAUAUAUUCCCACCGAGUAUUCCCAAUCCGUUUAUGAGCAAAGCCUGUGAAAAUAAAGGGAUGCGGUGGGGGAGGGGAAGGGAAUCU